This is a long non-coding RNA of Arachis duranensis, 563 nucleotides long. RefSeq lists it as uncharacterized. The transcript is spliced from 2 exons. The record is from RefSeq and is a predicted model, not a curated record. NCBI's taxonomy places the organism in Eukaryota, Viridiplantae, Streptophyta, Magnoliopsida, Fabales, Fabaceae.
AAAACCCUAUUCGCGUCGCAAAAGGGUUAUAUAAACACACUACGUCUCCUUCUUUUCGUCCCUCGCACAGAUUUCAUUAUGUUUUGGUCCUCACAUCUAAUGGAUUCUUUGUAGCAUUAGGAGCUGAUGAGAAAAGAGUAGAGAAAAAUUUUUCUGCAAGAACAACAUUCGCUGCAUCAGAUGGAUGGAAUGCAUCCCAAAAUACGUAAUCAUUGCGGUUGCUGCACAGCUUUGAGUUUGGCAAGCAUAAUCCCCCGAUGCUUGUGUCUACAUUGCAACAUGAUGUAUUUGAAACCUUAAAACCUGUGUGAUGAUAUAGUAUUAGACCAUGUCUACCAAAAGUUGAAUGAAAGAAUUUGCUUAGUAUGAAUGAGUAUGUCUUAAGGAUUUUAUUUUAAGAUCUUAAAUUACCAUAGGUAGUGGGAUUAUUGAUCAAGUCAAGAACUAGUGGAUAGGUGUCUGCAAAUAUGAGCUUUGAAUUUGGAAGACGAUGGUUGAGUGUGUUCAGUAGCUUUUGUACUUUAGAGUUGAAUUCAAGGAUCCAUUCAUUAACUCUCUUUAAA